CUUGGUCAUUUAGAGGAAGUAAAAGUCGUAACAAGGUGUCCUUCCCAGCGAACCUUGGAAGCCUUUGCACCCCGUUCCGCGGGGGGUCCGGCGACUAUAAAGAAGGGCCAGCAAGUCGCUCCGGCGGCAACAUGAUCGAAUUGCGGGGAUCUCCUAAAGCCUGAGGGUACCAACCUGGCGUCGAAAGACCCCGGGGGCCUGUGAGAGCAGGGCGGUCACAACCCCUCAGGAUACUACAGUGGACGAUCCGCAGCGAAGCCCCUACCGGCCUUGGACCCACGGGGAACGCUCACAGACUAGGUGGUUAUGGGUAGGGCCUCAUGGCCUCGCUUAAGAGAUAGUCGGGCCCUGAGAGAAAUCUUGGGGGCUGUUCGCACAGCGUGAAAACCGUUCCGUAGGUGAACCUGCGGAAGGAUCAUUACAGAGUUCAUGCCCGAAAGGGUAGACCUCCCACCCUUGUGUAUUUAUACUUUGUUGCUUUGGCGGGCCGCCGCAAGGCUACCGGCUCCGGCUGGUGCGUGCCCGCCAGAGAAUAUCAAACUCUGAAUGUUAGUGUCGUCUGAGUACUAUAUAAUAGUUAAAACUUUCAACAACGGAUCUCUUGAUUCUGGCAUCGAUGAAGAACGCAGCGAAAUGCGAUAAGUAAUGUGAAUUGCAGAAUUCAGUGAAUCAUCGAAUCUUUGAACGCACAUUGCGCCCCUUGGUAUUCCGGGGGGCAUGCCUGUUCGAGCGUCAUUUCAACCCUCAAGCUCUGCUUGGUAUUGGGCCCUGCCAGCAACGGCAGGCCUUAAAAAUAGUGGCGGUGCCUUGAGGCCCUGAGCGUAGUACAUCUCUCGCUAUAGGGUCCCCAGGGACGCUGGCCACCAACCCCAAUUUUCUAUGGUUGACCUCGGAUCAGGUAGGGAUACCCGCUGAACUUAAGCAUAUCAAUAAGCGGAGGAAAAGAAACCAACAGGUAUUGCCUCAGUAACGGCGAGUGAAGCGGCAUAAGCUCAAAUUUGAAAUCUGGCCCUUUCAGGGUCCGAGUUGUAAUUUGUAGAAGAUGUUUCGGGUGUGGCCCCGGUCUAAGUUCCUUGGAACAGGACGUCAUAGAGGGUGAGAAUCCCGUAUGUGACUGGGUGCCUACGCUCAUGUGAAACUCUUUCGACGAGUCGAGUCGUUUGGGAAUGCAGCUCAAAAUGGGUGGUAAAUUUCAUCUAAAGCUAAAUAUUGGCCAGAGACCGAUAGCGCACAAGUAGAGUGAUCGAAAGAUGAAAAGCACUUUGGAAAGAGAGUUAAACAGUACGUGAAAUUGUUGAAAGGGAAGCGCUUGCAAUCAGUCUUGCGCCUGGGCGAUCAUCCGAGGUUCUCCCCGGUGCACUCGUUCAGGCUCAGGCCAGCAUCGGUUUCUGUGGUUGGAUAAAGGCCUUGGGAAUGUGGCCCCUCUCGGGGGGUGUUAUAGCCCUCGGUGCAAUGCAGCCUACGGGGACCGAGGACCGCGCUUCGGCUAGGAUGCUGGCGUAAUGGUUGUAAGCGACCCGUCUUGAAACACGGACC
RNAcentral lists this ribosomal RNA (1536 nucleotides) under uncultured fungus. Its description in RNAcentral is "eukaryotic LSU rRNA". The stretch from base 885 to 1536 matches the Rfam family "Eukaryotic large subunit ribosomal RNA", at positions 1 to 667 of the family's 3401-position model. Lineage: Eukaryota; Fungi. The record is from RNAcentral.